UGAACCUCAGACAGCGGUCCGGGCCCUGGAGCCUUCAGGAAGUGGACGAACAGCCGCAGCACCCGCUGCAUGUCACCUGCACGGGGUGGCGGUGGACGAGCGGAGCACCGUGCCCGAUCCCACCCAGGUGAAGAACAGACCCACCAGCAUUUCGUGGGAUGGUCUUGAUUUAGGGAAACUCUACACCUGGGUCUUGACAGACCCGGAUGCUCCAAGCAGGAAGGAUCCCCAAUACAGGGAAUGGCAUCAUUUCCUGGUGGUCCACAUGAAGGGCAGUGACAUCAGCAGUGGCACAGUCCUCUCCGGAUUAUGUGGGCUCGGGGUCUCCCAAGGCACAGGCCGCUGAAAUGUGACGAGCCCAUCCUCAGCAACCGCUCCGGAGACCACCGUGGCAAAUUCAAGGUGGCGUCCCCCCGUAAAAAGUACGCGCUCGGGGUCCCGGUGGCCGGCACGUGUUACCAGGCCGAGUGGGACGACUAUGUGCCCAAAUUGUAGGAGCAGCUGUCUGGG
Molecule: long non-coding RNA, 510 nt
Filed under: Homo sapiens (human)
Lineage: Eukaryota; Metazoa; Chordata; Mammalia; Primates; Hominidae
Description: non-protein coding lnc-ATG2B-14:1
Source: RNAcentral